This 613-nucleotide ribosomal RNA is filed under the name uncultured bacterium. RNAcentral's name for it is "bacterial SSU rRNA". It matches the Rfam family "Bacterial small subunit ribosomal RNA", at positions 338 to 954 of the family's 1533-position model. The record is from RNAcentral.
CCUACGGGAGGCAGCAGUAAGGAAUAUUGGUCAAUGGAGGAAACUCUGAACCAGCCAUGCCGCGUGCAGGAUGACUGCCCUAUGGGUUGUAAACUGCUUUUAUACGGGAAGAAACCCCGCUACGUGUAGCGGGUUGACGGUACUGUAAGAAUAAGGACCGGCUAACUUCGUGCCAGCAGCCGCGGUAAUACGAAGGGUCCAAGCGUUAUCCGGAUUUAUUGGGUUUAAAGGGUGCGUAGGCGGCUUUUUAAGUCAGUGGUGAAAGCCUGAUGCUCAACAUCAGAACUGCCAUUGAUACUGAAGAGCUUGAGUACAGUUGAGGUUGGCGGAAUGUGUCAUGUAGCGGUGAAAUGCUUAGAUAUGACACAGAACACCGAUUGCGAAGGCAGCUAGCUAAGCUGUAACUGACGCUGAUGCACGAAAGCGUGGGGAGCAAACAGGAUUAGAUACCCUGGUAGUCCACGCCCUAAACGUUGAUAACUCGCUGUUGGCGAUAUACUGCCAGCGGCCAAGCGAAAGCAUUAAGUUAUCCACCUGGGAAGUACGGUCGCAAGAUUGAAACUCAAAUGAAUUGACGGNGNGAGAGNGCGACGGACGACGACGAGGGAGGAGG